This 398-nucleotide long non-coding RNA is filed under the name Gallus gallus (chicken). RNAcentral describes it as "lncRNA (ENSGALG00010014615.1)". Lineage: Eukaryota; Metazoa; Chordata; Aves; Galliformes; Phasianidae. The record is from RNAcentral.
AGCAGCUGGUAUGCUUGAAGAAUGUGUUGAAAAGGUUGGAAAACUCAGCCUUCAGUGCUUCUAGUUGGAAAAGAGCCAGCUGCCACUUAGAAAGAGAGAAGACGCCAUAGGGGAACAGCUCAUAGGAGUUUGCAGCCCCUUUGACACAGCUAGAAGAAGGGAAUGCCUAAUCCAUGUCACACCUCCAGCUCAUACCAGGGCAUGUGGGCCUGAAUUGUCAACAAACUUGUGAGUAGCAAAACCUCCUUAAAUCGAGGGCUGGUCAAAUACACAUUCCCCCUUGUCCUGCUUGUUUUGGGUCCAGUUAUAUAGGCAGAGAAAUGAGAAGGCUUGAGAAAAUGCUUGAAGCUCCUGGAGGGACACAGUGACUGCUGCAUAGGCUCCUUUCCACACCUAAG